Long non-coding RNA from Apis mellifera (honey bee), 1384 nucleotides. RefSeq lists it as uncharacterized. NCBI's taxonomy places the organism in Eukaryota, Metazoa, Arthropoda, Insecta, Hymenoptera, Apidae. The transcript has 3 exons. The record is from RefSeq and is a predicted model, not a curated record.
AUUUUGCGAUUAAAUGGGCUGGCGCUUUGGGCGAAACGGCGAUCAAUAGACGAUCUCUCGAUAGACUGCAAUUUCAUUGUUGAUUCUGGUCUCUCUGGUCUCUGUAUGGCCUCUCUGUGUAUAUGGCUUGGUUAAAAUCAGCCUAGAAUUCGAGCCGGCUAGCUUUUCGCAGAAUUUAAGGACCGUUGAGGGAGAGUUAGCGGAUCAAAUUGGUGGGAAAGGGAGGUUGUUGUUUCGUGGUUUACGUGGAUAGGGGAAUAAUUUUGGCGGAGAGAGGAAAAAGAAGGCCGUCCACGAGACGUCACUUCCUGGCCAGGAUCGAAACGUCAGGAGACUGUUCCUCCACCCCACGGGGCGCGCGCAUGGACCUCCAUUGAAUCGAUGACACGUAGCGGAAGGUACUCGGGGAUGAAUGUGCGGAUAAUCCAUUAGACGCCGUUGUAACCUAAAACCGGGCAAACAAGGGUGAUCUCCGGAUUGAGUCCCGGGGCGGACGGAUGGACCGUGGAUGAACGAAACGUUGAAAUUUGUGAUAAAGUCAACGCGAACGGGUGAACAGGUGAGCAACAAUGGGAACCGAUAAACGUCAGAAACGGAGGAUCUCGAUAACCGACAAGACAAUUUGCAAAAUUUUCUUUCGUAUUAUGGAAGUUUACGUGAAAUAUUUUCUGAAUAAUUAUUAUUGAAAUGUGAUAAAUAAAAAUGGUGUUUCUUCUCCCCUUUAACGUGAUGUUCCAACGAAAAUUGUACGAAUUGUAUUUUUGUUAAUUUUAUAUAUAAUUUUUAAGACACUUUUCCUUUCUUCCAUUAUUUGCAAUCAUUUGUUUUUUAUAUUUAUCUCAGGAUCGUUUAAAGUGUAACUGUUUCGUUCGAAUAUUUUAAUUAAUCGUUAGUCAUCGAUGAUCCUCGACGUGGUCGUCGAUGAUUAUUAUUCCAAUGGUCGAGAUACAAGUCGAGAGAGAGAGAUUAAAUAUAAAUACAUGGUAAUGCUCGAGAAGCGGUCUAAAAAAAGAAUUUAUAUCUUAUCUUCGAACUCGAUUAAUACAUCGAUUUUUAUUUCAUCUUGCAAAUGUUGCUGUUGCAUUUUAAAAUAUGUAAAAUUCAUCUCCGAGAAACGUUUAUAUCUACGUCUGAGAAUUGAUUUACAUGCACUGCAAAUGCGUUCCUUUGGUCUAAUCGAAAAAGCAAUUAGGUUAGAAAGUCUUUGCUCUUGCUUGAUCGCAAUAAGGAUAGAUGGCGGUAGUAUGCGUGUAUAAACAUUAAUUAAAAAAUAUUUCUAUGUCAUUCUUGAUCGAUUAUUUGUGCUUCGAUUAUCUGCUUAUUGAAAAUAAUUAAACGCGAAGAAGAAUUGGAAAAUUAAAUUGUUUAUCAAAUUAUUAUUAAA